GACGAACGCUGGCGGCGUGCUUAACACAUGCAAGUCGAACGGAAAGGCCCUGCGUUUGUGGGGUGCUCGAGUGGCGAACGGGUGAGUAACACGUGUGUAACCUGCACUUGACUUUGGGAUAACUUCAGGAAACUGGGGCUAAUACCGGAUAGGAGCUCCUGCUGCAUGGUGGGGGUUGGAAAGUUUCGGCGGUUGGGGAUGGACUCGCGGCUUAUCAGCUUGUUGGUGGGGUAGUGGCUUACCAAGGCUUUGACGGGUAGCCGGCCUGAGAGGGUGACCGGCCACAUUGGGACUGAGAUACGGCCCAGACUCCAACGGGAGGCAGCAGGGGGGAAUAUUGCGGAAUGGGCGGAAGCCUGAUGCAGCAACGCCGCGUGCGGGAUGACGGCCUUCGGGUGGAAAACCGCUUUGGCCGGUGACGAAGCGUGAGUGACGGUAAUGGGUAAAGAAGCACCGGCUAACUACGUG
Molecule: ribosomal RNA, 468 nt
Filed under: uncultured bacterium
Lineage: Bacteria
Description: partial 16S ribosomal RNA
Rfam family: Bacterial small subunit ribosomal RNA
Source: RNAcentral